RNAcentral lists this ribosomal RNA (484 nucleotides) under Enterococcus hirae. Its description in RNAcentral is "bacterial SSU rRNA". It matches the Rfam family "Bacterial small subunit ribosomal RNA", at positions 57 to 512 of the family's 1533-position model. The record is from RNAcentral. Lineage: Bacteria; Bacillati; Bacillota; Bacilli; Lactobacillales; Enterococcaceae.
GCAAGUCGAACGCUUCUUUUUCCACCGGAGCUUGCUCCACCGGAAAAAGAGGAGUGGCGAACGGGUGAGUAACACGUGGGUAACCUGCCCAUCAGAAGGGGAUAACACUUGGAAACAGGUGCUAAUACCGUAUAACAAUCGAAACCGCAUGGUUUNGAUUUGAAAGGCGCUUUCGGGUGUCGCUGAUGGAUGGACCCGCGGUGCAUUAGCUAGUUGGUGAGGUAACGGCUCACCAAGGCGACGAUGCAUAGCCGACCUGAGAGGGUGAUCGGCCACAUUGGGACUGAGACACGGCCCAAACUCCUACGGGAGGCAGCAGUAGGGAAUCUUCGGCAAUGGACGAAAGUCUGACCGAGCAACGCCGCGUGAGUGAAGAAGGUUUUCGGAUCGUAAAACUCUGUUGUUAGAGAAGAACAAGGAUGAGAGUAACUGUUCAUCCCUUGACGGUAUCUAACCAGAAAGCCACGGCUAACUACGUGCCAGC